This 1362-nucleotide long non-coding RNA is filed under the name Corvus moneduloides (New Caledonian crow). Its description in RNAcentral is "lncRNA (ENSCMUG00000016996.1)". The record is from RNAcentral. Lineage: Eukaryota; Metazoa; Chordata; Aves; Passeriformes; Corvidae.
AUGAAGAUUGGGACCGCAUUUGCUGUCGCUUUGUUGUGGUCCCUCUGGUGGACCACCAAAACAGCUGUGCACCACAUAGACCACCAAGAGCACAUGUGGGUCACCUGGGCUAACCAGACAGGCCAAGAGUCCUUCUGCUUAUCACUAGCCACGCCUUCCGAUCCCCUCCGUACCUGCCUUAUCGGAGUCCCAUUGACAAAGGCCAGUAGCUUCAAAAGCUACACCUCUAAAUAUCAAGAGCCAGAAGCCGCGUUCUCGGCCUUUUGUGUUGUGACGAGCAGUAGCACAACACUCGGCAUCUGCAAGACCCUUCAAAUUAAGCAGAACCCUUUAGCCGCCCAAGCACAAAAUACCGCCCUAGGCCUUAAUACAUCUACGCUCAAACCGCAAGAGCUAGAUCUCUUAGGCUCCCAGCCUGGUCCCUAUUGCCUUAUGUUUGGAUACUAUGGCUAUAACGGCAGUUUAAAGCCCCAACAGCCGAUCAAUGUUAGCACAUGGCUGAGCCCGACCACCUCAUGGUACUCCAAUGGCACAGCCUACUGCAAUGGCUCAGUGUGGCCAGUUAAUGACUCUCCACAAAAACCUAGGGCAUUACCCUCGGGAACCUUCCUUAUUUGCAGAGAUAGAGCAUGGCCAGGAGUGCCUUCUAAGCCGAUGGGAGGGCCGUGUUAUUUUGGGAAGCUAACAAUGUUUGCCCCUAGCAUCCAGCAAAUCCUAAACAUCACGCACAAACGAUCACGACGGAGCAUUUGUCAGUUAGGCCCCGAUUGCAGAGACAAUGUGGAAUUAUGGGAACCCCCUGCUGUCUUUUUUGCCUCUCUCCUAGCCCCAGGAGUCGCGUCAGCACACGCCCUCACCCAGCUUAAGAAGCUCGCAUGCUGGGCAGGCAAGCAAGCAAAUGUCACUUCAGACGUGUUGAGAGAACUCGCUACAGAUGUAGAUAGCCUGCGCCAUGCACUGCUGCAAAAUUGUGCAGCCAUUGACUUCUUAUUGCUAGCACAAGGCCAUGGCUGCCAAGAAUUUGAAGGAAUGUGCCGCUUUAAUCUAUCUGAUCACAGCACUUCCAUCCAUAAGCAGCUGCAAUGGCUGCGAGAGCAUACUCAGAAGCUUACUGUAGAAAGCAAGCCCUUUGAUCAACGGCUUGCUAGCCUCUUUGGUAAUCUUUCCCCUUGGAUGCGAACCAUUUUAACAGAAGCUUUUCGCUGGCUCAGUAUAAUUUUUGCCAUGCUGCUUAUUAUCCGGAUAGCUUAUUCUUGCAUUAUUCGCCAAGUAACAAAGAUCACAAACAAUGUCCUGCUUGUGCAAAAAGAGAAAACAGGAAUUGUGGAAGGAUGGCUGCAAGAAAGAGGACAUGAAACUUAA